GUUUUUAGCCAGGCGUGGUGGUGCACGGCUAUCAUUCUGGCACUGGGGAGGCUGAGGCAGGAAGAUUGCCAUGAGCUCGAGGCCAACCUGGGCUACAUAGGAUUGAACUUGGGACCUUUCGAGGCAGGCACGGUGCCACUGAGCUAAAUCCCUGGCGCCUCUGUGCUUUCUAACAAGAUGGGCGUCUUCAUGAGUCUCCUGGGCACAAUCAGGGCUGUGCGCGUGGGCUCCGCAGACAUCGGCGCAGACGGUGAUUCCUGCCGCGCCUCUCUGCCCCUCGGCCUCACGUCCCCCUGCUUCCUGAGCCAGGACGCCCACGGAUGCGACUUCGGUUCGCUUCGAGGAAGGAACCGCCCGGCGGCUUCCACAGCAGCCCCACGGGUUCACUCCCGCUGCGGUCUUGCCCGGGCCUAACCCAGCAGGGCCUGCUCGCCUCCCGGGCCAGCCGGCCGGCUCAGCCCUAGGCUCCCUGCCUCUCCUCGAAAGCCAGGGAUGCAGUGUCUGAGCGUGACCCAGACAGCUAAUAGUUGUAUGGUGUGAAUAAAACACAAGCAACCAGGUCUCCGCAGACAGUCAGAGAAGGGUCAGGGCUGGCUCCUGACAACACAACCUAAAGGCAGAGCUGUGCCCACGUCAUGCAUCCUUCGUUACUCUGUGACAACCCAAGACUCCAGUGCUUUUCUCUGCCUCGCUCUCCCUUACCUGCAGCCCCUCCAAGGAGCCUGAAGAGGCAGCAGCAGCAAUUCUAGGAGUCCUCCUUUGUGAGUGUCUUUAUGAGGUGUGAUCGAAAUGUGGUGAAU
RNAcentral lists this long non-coding RNA (800 nucleotides) under Heterocephalus glaber (naked mole-rat). RNAcentral's name for it is "lncRNA (ENSHGLG00000046652.1)". The record is from RNAcentral. Lineage: Eukaryota; Metazoa; Chordata; Mammalia; Rodentia; Bathyergidae.